GUUGAUGCUGACACUACUUUCUGAAGCAGACUUUUGUGAGGUUGCAAAUCCCUUCCCAACCUGAGAAGGCUCCCAUUGCUGUGGAGUGCAUUGAACGACAUCAUGGCCUAAAAGAACAUACCCGGGGAUAAUACCAGCAGCAACAAGUUCCACGCAACCGCCAAAAUGCACGCCGCUGUUUUGAAGCACGUCUGAGUGAACCGAUGGUUUCCAUGGAUUCCAUAAAGAUUCAAUUGAUUUGCUGGUUUUUAAUUGUCCAAUUAUUUUUAAAAAUAAACAUUUUGGUGAAUGUUGUUUGUGUUCUUCCAACGGAUCAUCUUCUUUCCCCCAUUGGUGUAAUCGUACUGCACACGAAAAACAUUCUAC
This is a long non-coding RNA of Dreissena polymorpha, 366 nucleotides long. RefSeq lists it as uncharacterized. Lineage: Eukaryota; Metazoa; Mollusca; Bivalvia; Myida; Dreissenidae. The transcript is spliced from 3 exons. The record is from RefSeq and is a predicted model, not a curated record.